Molecule: long non-coding RNA, 3629 nt
Filed under: Coffea arabica (coffee)
Lineage: Eukaryota; Viridiplantae; Streptophyta; Magnoliopsida; Gentianales; Rubiaceae
Description: long non-coding RNA (CARA_LNC005525)
Source: RNAcentral
UUCCAAACAAUUCCAAUUUCUGUCGGUUCAUUCCAGCAUCUUCCAUUUCUUUUGCCGACCAACCCCACUCACGAUAACCUCAAUAUAUACACCCCAUUAACCAUACACUCCACACUAUACCAUUUCCAAUCCACUAUAAUAGUACACUUCCAUUUGCUUUCUGCCGUGAGCUGUGAGGAAACAACUACCUUGGAAGUAUCGACGAGAGAGAGAGCCGUGCGAGCUUCGGUUCUUGAACUGUCCGAGAGAGGGUGAGAGCAAGAGAUAAUCGUGUGAGCUUCAUUGCUUCCUUCAUCAUCUGAGAGCUGCCAUUUCAUUCUUCACCUCAACCAGCCGUGAUCACUUCAACCUCAAUCACCACAGCUGCAAUUACUGAACUCAGACCAACCAUCCCCGAGUGCGUGAGCAAAGCCGUGAGGGAGGAAAAUAUUUCUGCUGUGGGCCGAGUGUGUUAAGCUUCAGGCUGAGGUAAUUUCUAGACUUAAAUGAGUUGUUUAUGGGUUAAUGAAGCUGGUUAUAAGCAUGCAUGUGGGGUUGUGCGGUUGGAUGACAAAAUUAAGUUACAAGAAAACUGAUUUGGAAAGAAUUGGAGCUGCCGAGAGUUAGAGCUGGAAUUGCAGCUUUAGUUUGUUAACUUGUGAUGAUCUGAGCUUAACCUUGGGCCAAUUUGAUAGAUAGCCUUUUAUUUGGUGUUGCAUGUGAACCAUAUGGCCAGGAUUUCGGUUGCAUGGCUGGAAAUUUUCACUAGAAGUUGCUGGACUGCUUAAUCAAUUUUCCAGUUUGCCGAUGGAGUUGUUUUGGGAGUUGUAUGAAUAUUUUAGUAUGAGAUUUGCUGGAAAGUGUUUGAUUCUCACUUGGUGGUGUGUUUAGCUAACUAAAUGCUGGAUGAUUAAGCCCCGCAUGAGAUUAAUUAGCUGUGUGUAAAUCAGAAAAAUAAAAUGAAACCAAAAGUCUGCUGCAGGCAUGUCAUCCGUAGUUAGUUGAGCAGAUCCUAGAAUUUUGAAUGAAUGUUGUUGGUGACCGACCCUGUUUUGGACUAGAAUUAAUAGUAACUUCAUUUAUUAGUAAUACAUGUUAGCUGUGAGUACAUAAUUCAGUGAUUUGGCCAAGGAAAAUCCGGAUUAAUGAGUGACUAAGCUGCUGGAAUUUUUCCAGUGUAGCCGAAUGAAGAAGAAAAGAAUUUUCCAGUUUUCUUUUGCGAAUUUUGGGUUUUAAAAUUAUGUUACAAGCUGUAAAUUUUGUGUCGUUGAUUAAGAGACCCCGUAAGCAUAACAAUUACCAUUUACAUGAUAAGCUGGGAGUGUAAAAGAUCGAAGUCUUGUUGCUGGAAAAUUUGGUUAAUGGCCGAAUGAGAAAGGAGCUUGAAAUUCUUAUAUUGGCUUGAUAAUUGGCUACAAUCUCAAGUAAAAUGUCUUAUAACAUCUUGUGCUAGUUUCAUGAUUAUCUUAUUGAUUGUAACACUUGAAAAACUGGUGUAUUGGAACAUGAACUAAAAGAAUUUCUGAAGGAAAAUAUUUUUCCAGCAUGGCCGAAUGGGUUGGGACUUUUGGUGGAUUUAUUUGCUGGAUUUGUGCAUUAUUUAUUUUAGCUUGGUUUGGACAGAUUAUAGGCUAUACGUUUGGUGUUUCUAGCAAGUAAAAGUUGGACAUCUUGGAUUGAAAUUUACUGGAAUUUUCUUGACUAUCGAAACAAGAAAAGAAAAUCUGAGUUCCUAAGUGUAUUUGUGAGUAAGCUAACCGUGACUUUCUUCUAUGCUUGAGUUAAACUUUUAGUUGACUUGUUGUAAGAAAUAUUUGUUUGAUGCCAAGAGCUAAUGAUUGAUGAAGCUUUUGGCCAUUUGAGUAAUUUUUGCAAGGGUUAAAUUCUUGGUGGAAUUAUUUAAGUGGUUUGGCCAAAAUGCAUUUGGAAGGUCCACGAUUUGUGAUUUGGAAUUGUUUUAAUACUUUGGACUUCCUUUGGUUGAUUUUGAUUAGAAUUGAAUCUGUUGAGACCUAGGGCUAAUGAUUGAUGAAACCCUAGUGAAAUGGAUGUUCGAAUUGUGUUUUUGCUAUAUUGGCGACUUGGAAUAUAAUGUGCAAAUGAAUUGAAAUCGUGAAGUCCGUUCUAGUCUUUUGAAUUCAAGUAUCUUUAAAUCAAAUCUUGUGGGAAUAUUUUGCCUUAAUAUCAAGUUAUAUACAUUGAGUAUAGUACGUUAAUAUUAAAAUCUAGAUAUCGGGACUUUUAAAACCUUGCCGAUUUGUUAAUUCUUUUCUUUAUUUAAACUAGUGUUUGACCUUUAAUAAAUAAUUGCAUUAACUUCCAAACUUUAAGUUUUUCACAAAAUUAUCCUUGACCAAUUGUUUUAAAGGAAAUUUGUUAAAAACAUUAGAUUUGAAUAAUUUCAAAUAAAAGACAAAGGGAACUUGUUCGACAAGAAAACUUGUUUGAAUUAAUUUGGUUCUAGUUUGCCCUCUAGUAGGGAAAUACCUUUAAAGAAACCAUACGAGAUAUUUUAUUUCUUUACUAGCCUUAAUUCCAAGGGAAUGAUUGAUUUGUUUCGAGAAAUUAAAUUAGUUUUAUAGAAGAUAACCUUUUAUAUACAAAACAAAAGUUUGUUUAGUAAAACUUAUAGUUUUAAAAAUUGGAUUUCUAGGGUGUAGCGAGGACGUGGACUUCGAUUCCCAACUUGACUUUUGAGCUUCACUUUUGGUGAGUGUCCCUGCCUGAUUUAUGGCUAUUUGGUUAAAGUGCUUUAUCGACUCGUUAUGUGAUAAUUGCCAAAAAUGGUUGUUGAUCCAUCGAAGUGAGCAGUGUGUACUUUAUCGCACUAGCCUUUCGAGUGGUGACUUGCUUGAAGUGUUUUUCGUGAAUAUCUUGCUUGUGUUUGCUAAGUGCUAAAUUACUAGGCAGGAGAAUGUACCACACCAUAAAGGUGGGAGGGCCUCUUAUCCUGUCCUGGUAAUCAAGUGUUGGACGUAAAGUCGUUGAGUGAAUCCCUCGAUCAGUCUAUAAUAAUCAAGUGUUGGACGUAAAGUUGUUGGGUGAAUCCCUCGAUCAGUCUAUAAUAAUCAAGUGUUGGACGUAAAGUCGUUGGGUGAAUCCCUCGACCAGUCUAUAACAAUCAAGUGUUGGACGUAAAGUCGUUGGGUAAAUCCCUCGACCAGUCUAUAAAUAUAAGUGUUGGACGUAAUGUCGUUGGGUGAAUCUCUCGACCAGUCUAAGGUAUACUCGAAUAUUAUCGCUUCCCUAUUUAUUUACUUCAGUCGAAUCAAUACGUGUUAAUUGUUUCAAGUGAUUGCAUGAUUUUGGGGCACCACUGAGUUUUAGCUCACCCCACGUUCAUUUGUUUUCCUUACAGGUUGUGAAGUUUGAAAGAAUUUGAGCUGCUUAUAUUUCCUAUGAAUGUAAUUGAACAACUUGAAUUUGAAUUUCGGUUUGUAAUGAAUUCCAAGUUAAGCAUUUUAUCUUUCAUUUUGGAUUGCCACUUGAAGCUGGAAAAGUGUAAACCCUAAUUCUGAUAUGUGGCUUGAAUGUAUGUAUUUGUGUGGUAUGGCUUUAACCCUUGUAAGUAACGCGUGAAGUGUUUAAGAGCCGUCGAUUGGCUAACUUCGGAUGCUGUUAUCUUUGAAGUUAAUGUGGUGUUAGAAACC